This 406-nucleotide ribosomal RNA is filed under the name uncultured bacterium. RNAcentral's name for it is "partial 16S ribosomal RNA". It matches the Rfam family "Bacterial small subunit ribosomal RNA", at positions 29 to 526 of the family's 1533-position model. The record is from RNAcentral.
AUUGAACGCUGGCGGCAGGCCUAACACAUGCAAGUCGAGCGAGCGGCGGACGGGUGAGUAAUGUAUGGGGAUCUGCCCGAUGGAGGGGGAUAACUACUGGAAACGGUGGCUAAUACCGCAUACUAUCGGAUGAACCCAUAUGGGAUUAGCUAGUAGGUGGGGUAAAGGCUCACCUAGGCGACGAUCUCUAGCUGGUCUGAGAGGAUGAUCAGCCAAACCGGGACUUAGAACAGGCCCAGACCCCUACGGGAGGUAGCAGUGGGGAAUAUUGCAAAAUGGGGGGAAGCCUGAGGCCGCCAAGCCGGGGUGAUGAAGAAGGCCUUAGGGGUGUAAAGUACUUUUAGCGGGGAGGCGUUAACCGCCGAAGAAGCACCGGCCAACCCCGUGCCAGCCGCCGCGGUAAUAC